This 253-nucleotide ribosomal RNA is filed under the name uncultured bacterium. RNAcentral describes it as "partial 16S ribosomal RNA". It matches the Rfam family "Bacterial small subunit ribosomal RNA", at positions 524 to 776 of the family's 1533-position model. The record is from RNAcentral.
UACAGAGGGUGCAAGCGUUAAUCGGAAUUACUGGGCGUAAAGCGCGCGUAGGUGGUUCAGUAAGUUGGAAGUGAAAUCCCCGGGCUCAACCUGGGAACUGCAUUUGUGACUGCAAGGCUAGAGUACGGCAGAGGGGGAUGGAAUUCCGCGUGUAGCAGUGAAAUGCGUAGAUAUGCGGAGGAACACCAGUGGCGAAGGCGACCACCUGGACUGAUACUGACACUGAGGUGCGAAAGCGUGGGGAGCAAACAGG